ACUAGUCAGGACUGCUUCCUCUCUCAGCCACCGGACUGGGCUGGAGCAGGCAUAUCUGUGAUGCAGGGAAGACCCACUCAGAAUGUGAGUGGCACCAUUCUAUUGGCUGGGUUCCAAGACUGAGCAAAGCAGGGAAAAGGAGAAAGCCGGCAACCAAGGAUUGAAUUUUGGACAUUAUGCAUGCUGGUCAAAUGCUCUACCAUUGAACUACAUCCCUCUGAAGUUCUUAAGUCAUUUCUAUGGUAUUUAAGUCACAGAAAUGCAGAGGUGACUAAUACCCCAUCUCAGAAAAUUGUAAGAGUGUGUAGAAGUGUACAGCAGCAAUUCCUUCAAAUAACAAGAACCAAAGAGAGCAGAAGAGAAGACAUUUAUAACCAGUUGGUAAACGUCAAGGACUACUUCAAGGAACUCCAAGGCAGUGUUUCUCCUGAGGUUCCUAAAGAAGAAGGAAAUCAACCAUUCAUAUUAAGGUCUUGAAAAACUCCCAAAAUGUAGGAGAUAAGGGCCUGUUCUUUCUACCUGUUUUAAGAAGGUUUUGACUAAUUAGUGUUAAAAAACUGUUAAACAGCUCCCAAUGGACUCUAAACAGGCUUAUCAGUAGGUAGGUGUUGAUGUGGCAGGGGUGGUAGUGGAAUUCUAAAACGGGAUAACUUGUUAGCUCAAUUUUUCUCUCUAAAAAUGUUAACUUUGUCAGUGAUUGCUAGUUAGUGUUAGAGAUGGAGAAAGUGGCUAGAAAGCACAGUUCUGUAGCCAGUGUCUCUUGCUCCUGUGAAAGGAUACUUUUAAAAAGGACAGCUGAGGGGGCUAGAGAGAUGGCUCAGUGGUUAAGAACAUGGAGUGAAAUUCCAGCAAGCACAUGGUGGUUCACAACUAUCUAUAAGGGCAUCUGAUGCCCUCUUCUGGCACGAGGGUGUACAAGCAGCAAAACACUUAUACAAGAAAGAAAGGAGAGAACUUAAGAGACUACCCAAUUUUUUUUGAAAGGCAGAUGACUCAAGACUAAAUACCCUCUCUACUGAUGUUGAUGAAAGUUAUCUUGUUGUUUUCAGUCUUGUCAGAAAUAUCACAGGAGGUGGGCUUAAAUUUUCUUUCUAUGUUAGAGAUACACAGUUUCUUUUAAAAUAUUUGGAAAUAAAAAUGGCAAGAUCAUAAGUUGUCACUC
RNAcentral lists this long non-coding RNA (1162 nucleotides) under Mus caroli (Ryukyu mouse). RNAcentral describes it as "lncRNA (MGP_CAROLIEiJ_G0006787.1)". The record is from RNAcentral. Lineage: Eukaryota; Metazoa; Chordata; Mammalia; Rodentia; Muridae.